This is a long non-coding RNA of Amphiprion ocellaris (clown anemonefish), 816 nucleotides long. Lineage: Eukaryota; Metazoa; Chordata; Actinopteri; Pomacentridae. The record is from Ensembl.
GUGGAUUCUGUGGAUCCUGUGGGUUGCAGGGUGGGUCCUACCUAGACCAGGCUGAUCCUGGACCAUCCCACAGAUGCUCCAUCAGAUCUGGAUGUGGGGAGUGUGGAACCCAGAUGUUCAGAGGGAGAUGAUGCCACAUCUGGUCCAGCUGAUGGAAGGUCUUGAAGUUCUCUGACUGGCCUCGACUGAAGAUGGUCGUCUCACUGGAUUUAAGCAUGUUGGAGCAAAACAACCAGAUGAAAACUGUGAUGGUGUUGGAUUGUCAGACUGUAAUGUGCAACAUUACGGCCUGAUCAGGAAGCGGGCGAGCUGCUCCAUGAACCGGGACGAGGGGGUCUACACCCUCUCGCAUACCUGGGAUUCCAUCCUCCAGAGACCACCGGACGGCGGGGGGCGUGGCCAGUCUGACAGAUUCUGACAGAUUGGUCAGACCGGUCCCAUGAUAAAAAAGGACACGUCGGAUGACGCUCUGAAGAAGACUGCAGUUGAAACAUGUCAGCUAAGGUAAAACCAUCUUUACUUUGAUUUGUCGGUAUAAAAUAUAACGUUAUCCUAUGAAGUCCCAUCUAGUUUUUAUGAUGAAUGUGAUGUUUUAAUUUCUCUGUGAAUAACUGCAGUCUAAUGCAACAGCUGGAGUUGUAACAUCUGUCCUGAUAUUGAUCAUGAAGUAUUGAUCAGAAUACUUAUGGUCAGCAGUCAUCCCUGAAGUUUUACAUUAAAAUCUUUACUUGUGUUGUGAACUUUGGUAAGAAGCAGAAACGUUAGCGUUGCCAUGGAUACAUGAGUGUUAAAUUCUGUCCAUGUUUCCAUUUUGGG